This 352-nucleotide ribosomal RNA is filed under the name Klebsiella variicola. RNAcentral's name for it is "bacterial SSU rRNA". It matches the Rfam family "Bacterial small subunit ribosomal RNA", at positions 238 to 582 of the family's 1533-position model. The record is from RNAcentral. Lineage: Bacteria; Pseudomonadati; Pseudomonadota; Gammaproteobacteria; Enterobacterales; Enterobacteriaceae.
GGAUUAGCUGGUAGGUGGGGUAACGGCUCACCUAGGCGACGAUCCCUAGCUGGUCUGAGAGGAUGACCAGCCACACUGGAACUGAGACACGGUCCAGACUCCUACGGGAGGCAGCAGUGGGGAAUAUUGCACAAUGGGCGCAAGCCUGAUGCAGCCAUGCCGCGUGUGUGAAGAAGGCCUUCGGGUUGUAAAGCACUUUCAGCGGGGAGGAAGGCGGUGAGGUUAAUAACCUCACCGAUUGACGUUACCCGCAGAAGAAGCACCGGCUAACUCCGUGCCAGCAGCCGCGGUAAUACGGAGGGUGCAAGCGUUAAUCGGAAUUACUGGGCGUAAAGCGCACGCAGGCGGUCUG